RNAcentral lists this ribosomal RNA (496 nucleotides) under uncultured bacterium. RNAcentral describes it as "partial 16S ribosomal RNA". It matches the Rfam family "Bacterial small subunit ribosomal RNA", at positions 28 to 506 of the family's 1533-position model. The record is from RNAcentral.
GAUGAACGCUGGCGGCGUGCCUAAUACAUGCAAGUCGAGCGAACAGAUAAGGAGCUUGCUCCUUUGACGUUAGCGGCGGACGGGUGAGUAACACGUGGGUAACCUACCUAUAAGACUGGGAUAACUUCGGGAAACCGGAGCUAAUACCGGAUAAUAUUUCGAACCGCAUGGUUCGAUAGUGAAAGAUGGUUUUGCUAUCACUUAUAGAUGGACCCGCGCCGUAUUAGCUAGUUGGUAAGGUAACGGCUUACCAAGGCGACGAUACGUAGCCGACCUGAGAGGGGGACCGGCCAAACUGGAACGGGGCAACGGCCCAAACCCCAACGGGGGGCAGAAGUGGGGAAGCUUCCGCAAUGGGGGAAAGCCUGACGGGGCAACGCCGGGUGAGGGAUGAAGGUCUUGGGAUGGAAAAACUUUUUUUUUAGGGAAAAACAAACGUGGGAGAAACUGGGCACGUCUUGACGGUACCUAAGAAGAAAGCCACGGCUAACUACGG